CUGGCCCUAGUACGAGAGGACCGGGUCGGACGGACCUCUAGUGUACCGGUUAUCGUGCCAACGGUAUUGCCGGGUAGCUAUGUCCGGAUGAGAUAAGCGCUGAAAGCAUCUAAGCGCGAAACUCGCCCCAAGAUAAGAUAUCCCCCAGCAUAAGCUGGCUAAAGGACCCUCGGAGAUGACGAGGUUGAUAGGCCGGAGGUGUAAGCACAGCAAUGUGUUCAGCCGACCGGUACUAAUAGUCCGUGCGGCUUGAUCG
RNAcentral lists this ribosomal RNA (256 nucleotides) under Candidatus Eiseniibacteriota bacterium. RNAcentral describes it as "Candidatus Eisenbacteria bacterium partial 23S ribosomal RNA". It matches the Rfam family "Bacterial large subunit ribosomal RNA", at positions 2672 to 2925 of the family's 2925-position model. The record is from RNAcentral. Lineage: Bacteria; Candidatus Eiseniibacteriota.